GCUCAGGAUGAACGCUGGCGGCGUGCUUAACACAUGCAAGUCGAACGGUGAAGCAGAGCUUGCUCUGUGGAUCAGUGGCGAACGGGUGAGUAACACGUGAGCAACCUGCCCCGGACUCUGGGAUAAGCGCUGGAAACGGCGUCUAAUACUGGAUACGAGACGCAACCGCAUGGUUAGUGUCUGGAAAGAUUUUUCGGUCUGGGAUGGGCUCGCGGCCUAUCAGCUUGUUGGUGAGGUAAUGGCUCACCAAGGCGUCGACGGGUAGCCGGCCUGAGAGGGUGACCGGCCACACUGGGACUGAGACACGGCCCAGACUCCUACGGGAGGCAGCAGUGGGGAAUAUUGCACAAUGGGCGGAAGCCUGAUGCAGCAACGCCGCGUGAGGGACGACGGCCUUCGGGUUGUAAACCUCUUUUAGCAGGGAAGAAGCGAAAGUGACGGUACCUGCAGAAAAAGCGCCGGCUAACUACGUGCCAGCAGCCGCGGUAAUACGUAGGGCGCAAGCGUUAUCCGGAAUUAUUGGGCGUAAAGAGCUCGUAGGCGGUCUGUCGCGUCUGCUGUGAAAACCCGAGGCUCAACCUCGGGCCUGCAGUGGGUACGGGCAGACUAGAGUGCGGUAGGGGAGAUUGGAAUUCCUGGUGUAGCGGUGGAAUGCGCAGAUAUCAGGAGGAACACCGAUGGCGAAGGCAGAUCUCUGGGCCGUAACUGACGCUGAGGAGCGAAAGGGUGGGGAGCAAACAGGCUUAGAUACCCUGGUAGUCCACCCCGUAAACGUUGGGAACUAGUUGUGGGGUCCUUUCCACGGAUUCCGUGACGCAGCUAACGCAUUAAGUUCCCCGCCUGGGGAGUACGGCCGCAAGGCUAAAACUCAAAGGAAUUGACGGGGACCCGCACAAGCGGCGGAGCAUGCGGAUUAAUUCGAUGCAACGCGAAGAACCUUACCAAGGCUUGACAUACACGAGAACGCUGCAGAAAUGUAGAACUCUUUGGACACUCGUGAACAGGUGGUGCAUGGUUGUCGUCAGCUCGUGUCGUGAGAUGUUGGGUUAAGUCCCGCAACGAGCGCAACCCUCGUUCUAUGUUGCCAGCACGUAAUGGUGGGAACUCAUGGGAUACUGCCGGGGUCAACUCGGAGGAAGGUGGGGAUGACGUCAAAUCAUCAUGCCCCUUAUGUCUUGGGCUUCACGCAUGCUACAAUGGCCGGUACAAAGGGCUGCAAUACCGCGAGGUGGAGCGAAUCCCAAAAAGCCGGUCCCAGUUCGGAUUGAGGUCUGCAACUCGACCUCAUGAAGUCGGAGUCGCUAGUAAUCGCA
This 1313-nucleotide ribosomal RNA is filed under the name Microbacterium sp. Its description in RNAcentral is "bacterial SSU rRNA". It matches the Rfam family "Bacterial small subunit ribosomal RNA", at positions 22 to 1346 of the family's 1533-position model. The record is from RNAcentral. Lineage: Bacteria; Bacillati; Actinomycetota; Actinomycetes; Micrococcales; Microbacteriaceae.